Long non-coding RNA from Oncorhynchus tshawytscha (Chinook salmon), 805 nucleotides. RefSeq lists it as uncharacterized. The record is from RefSeq and is a predicted model, not a curated record. The transcript has 3 exons. NCBI's taxonomy places the organism in Eukaryota, Metazoa, Chordata, Actinopteri, Salmoniformes, Salmonidae.
GAUGAUGUCCAAUCUGUCAGAGUGUGAUGACAGCACUACUGAGAAGAUUGUGCAGUGCGUCAGAGGGACAUACUCACACCAUCAAAAAAGUUCAGGCAUUCAUGGGCCCUGCAUUGAUGGUGUGCUCCUGAAAGGGCCUCCUGAAGAGGUUUUGAAGAACAAGGAGUUCCUGAAGGUUCCUAUGGUUGUAGAGGUGGUCAACCAUGAAUUUGGAUGGGUUAUGUCUCAGGCAAGCUCACUGGAUUUUAUAUCUUGUUGUGAGAUUUUCUUUAAGACAACAUUAUUGUGGUCAUCAGACCAGAUUACUGUACCUGUAUCACAUUUCAGAUAUCUUCACCUCUGUUGCAGUCUAACUGUUGUUUCUGAUGCCAUAGUUUUAUUUUAUGCACCUUUGGGUUCUGUUGAUGGCAUGGAGAAGCAGUCUGUGGAAUCCGUGAUGGACAUUUUCUUCUUAUGUCUCCCAAUGGGCUGUGGUUGGUGGAGUGGACUCCCCUUUGACCACACUGAGAGUUAACUGAACCUGGGCUUGGAGCAGACAGUGGGCCUGGGACUGAAGCAGAACAGGUCCCACUUCCUGAAUGUAGUCCUGCCCCGAAACUCUCAAUCCACCAGACAGCCAAUGAGGAGCUCUAAAUCUCUGGGCUUUACCAUAUAUGGACCCUUCAAUUAACACAUGAUCAACAAUUAAUUUGGUAACACUUUGGCUACAGUACAUUCUGAAAUCCAUUGUAAUAUUGAAUACAUAAUGUAAACUUUCACUGCUAUGCGGAUGACACACAGCUGUACAUUUCAAUGAAACAUGGUG